GGCCGCGUAGUGUAGUGGUUAGCACGCAGGAUUUUGAUAUUAUCAAAAGACUUCCUGAGACCUGAGUUCAAUCCUCGGCGGGGCCU
This 86-nucleotide transfer RNA is filed under the name Annulohypoxylon bovei var. microspora. RNAcentral's name for it is "tRNA-Gln". It matches the Rfam family "tRNA". Rfam says of the family: Transfer RNA (tRNA) molecules are approximately 80 nucleotides in length. Their secondary structure includes four short double-helical elements and three loops (D, anti-codon, and T loops). The record is from RNAcentral. Lineage: Eukaryota; Fungi; Ascomycota; Sordariomycetes; Xylariales; Hypoxylaceae.